Metopolophium dirhodum (rose-grain aphid) is the source of this 443-nucleotide long non-coding RNA. RefSeq lists it as uncharacterized. Lineage: Eukaryota; Metazoa; Arthropoda; Insecta; Hemiptera; Aphididae. The transcript has 4 exons. The record is from RefSeq and is a predicted model, not a curated record.
CGGCAAGUUCGGUACGAAAUCACACGUGAAGUGCGCGGUCAUGUGUCGUGAGUGAAAUAUCCUUAUCGCCGGAUGGUGCCGCGAAGUGAUGAUACAGUGUCGCGACGUAUCCGGCAAUUUUGUGGAAUUUUAUAAGAAUGCAUGCGCCUGCGCCGACGCUGUUCAGAAUAAUAUAGGUGUUGCCGAGUGAUGCAGCCCAUUGGGGUAAGUGUGCGUGAGUGUGUGUGUGUGCGUGUGUUUUAGAAGUAUCCGUCGUCGCCGUGUCUGUUAUGACUUCAGUGUGGUUGCCGUCGUCGACCGAGAAAUUAGAAUAAACAUUUCUCAUCAACACGGCGAAUCACAUUGGAAACCGAAGAACGAAUAAUGAUAAAUAAUGAAGAAUAAUAUACGAUGAAAAUCGUUUAGAACGCGAGAUUGACGAUUGCGGUGCAGUUGCGGUUAUU